UGAGGGACAGGGUCUGCACCAGAGGGCAGUGGGCAUGGAAUGGGCUGCCCAGGGCUGUGGGAACGGCCCCCAGUGCUAGAGUUCCAGGAGAGUUUGGACAAUGCUCUUGGAAGUAGGGUUUGAAUUUUGGGUGGUCCUGUGUGGAACCUGGAGCUGGACUUGGUGAUCCUUAUGGUUCCCUUCCAACUGGGGAUGUUCUUUGCCUCUAAUGCAUGUGGCCAUGUGUCAGCUCUGAGGGAAAUGGUUAAAACUCCCACAGAUACGGAGCACAAGUGGUUAAUUCCUGCAAUUUCCGUGGGUCCAGGACUCGGCCACCAAUGGUAUGUCCAGUCCCAGAGGAAAUCUACAAAGUAUGAAUCCAAAGCAUUCAGCUGAGAUGUGGCGAAUGCAGACCUUACCAGCCUCAGAGACACAACACCAUUCUUUCCUCAUCUUACAUGAUGGGAGCUUUUUCAUUCACUCUUAAACAAUUUCAUUGGCGGCAGAAGUGGAGGGGAGAUGGGAUCAUACGUUCACAGAAUAUCCUGAGCUGGAAGGGACCAACAAGGGUCCACAAUUCCAGCUCCUGGCUCUACACAGCACCACCCAAAAUUCCAACCCUAUGUCUGAGAGUGUUGUCCAAAUGCUCCCUCAACUCCAUCACCUCAGUGCUGUGACCGCUGCUCUGGGGAGGCAGCUAUGGUGAGCAGGCUUUACAGUGAGUGACAUGGAUGUAGUGCAUUGGUGGAAGGUAAGGACAUUUUUCUGCAGUCUUGUCUUCCAAUAAGGCUUUAGGUGGCCUGGAAUAAAGAGUCAUGGAGCUGCUCGUUGGUGAUGUUGUGAAUCUUUGAAGUCUGAAUGCUUGGGCUGGUUUUCAUCACCUGAGCUUACUAAUUAGUGUUAUUUAUUGCUAUUCACAGUGAAAAUUGAUAAAUAAUUCUUAAGGCAUUUGAGAAUGAAUAAGCAUUCCAAGAAUUCUGGAGUCAUCUUUAUUUUAAUUUUAUUGCCUUAGUAUAAAUAAUUGUCCUUUUUUAGUUAUUGGUAUUUAGAAGAUACAUUUUCUUAGCUUCAAAUAGCUCAAAAAAUAAAUACAAGUCUGGAGGUACCAUGUCCUAGCAACAGCAUGCAGAGAUCAUUCCUGAGCACGAAUGGGCACCAGAAAUGGCAGGAGGGAAGCACUCAAGUGACAUGAAGAGCUCCAAGUCUGUGUUUAGCCCUCCCAGCCAUGUGAAGCCAAGAAGACGAUUCUAGCCUAUCCCCUCUCACUCUUGUGCACACUUUAGUGCUAAAAGUGAUGCUGUAUUAAGGAAGACCACCAAAACACUAUGCCAACUGUGCUGCUUAAGUGCUUAUGGAAUGCUUGGCCAAACAAACAAAUGAAACCCAACAAAACAGUACACACUCGUAAUUAGCAGCAUCUUUUCUUCUGGGGAAAGAGCGGAGACCGCUGUCAUUAAACAUUCUGCAGAGUGUUUCAGAGACAGAAUCUAAAUGCUAAGAGAAAGGAAUAUUUAGUUACAAAGGAUUAGUGCUUCAUAACUAGUCACUGUUGCUAGUCAUUUUACCACAGGUAAAAAGGAACUUAUUUUUCCUAUUUAUUUUUUUACCCCAACAAAGAAGAAUCGAAAAGAGUAUUUGCCCAGAUAGUGCAGUCGUUUUCAGAAUAUGUAGAUUCUCUGCCAUUGCUUUCACAAUCAAGUAUUUAUCAUCCUUAGGAAACUUUUGAAGGUACUUCAGUUACUUAUUUCUAGGAACUGAGGUCUCAUGUCCAGAAAAAGCUCCCGUUGGUACAAGCUGUAGCUGCCCUCCUGCCUAGCAACACAGAUCAUCACAAACAAAUCCGUCUGGAGCACCCUGGCUCCCAAUGAAGCAGUGUCCAAAUACGGUCUCUGUAUCAAUAGUUCAGCAAGCACUCUGUGCAAUUCUUCUUGCCAGCGUUGAUGAUAGUUUCUUUUUGACUGCAGUCUCUGAUUCAAGAAGGCUGAAAUUUAUGCAUUAAUAUGUAUCACAUUACUGCGUUUGUAACUUGAAAUAAGCAAAAUAUAACUGCCUUUGCCUAAAGAACAGCAAUAUACUUAAGGAAAUCAGUGGAAGAAGUUGUGCAGGGAAGGAACUCUGGUGUCUUCUGAGUUCUGCUGGUGAUCUCUGGGACAGUUGUUGGCUCCAAAGUCGUGCCACUCUGCAGAGGAAGAGAAUUAACUUUGAAGGCAAGAAUAAGAAAGAACACAUGGUAGAAGAAAGGCUAUCAUUUUGUAGGACAAGAGGCCGCUUCAACAUCCUUCUCCAGAGAGAAAUGGAAGAUCUCCAUGGAUUGUUCAAAACAUUGUAUUAUUCAGGUGGGCACUGCCAUUAUGAGAAACAGAAAAGUCAAGAGUGCAACUGUGGGAGGCAGAAAUGCAAGAGGGUGCAUGACUGUUGCAUGACUGAGAGAAAGGAGAUGUAAUUUCCUCCCUUUGUAUUUGCAUACGCAGAACUUCUUUUAGAUGUAUGGUAGAACAUACUAUGAUUCAGCCUAAAUUUAAACCUUUUUAUUCAGCUGCAUAAAGGUAACUUGAAGGCUGACUGAAUAGGAAAUGCUCAUCUCACCUCUGCUGUUUGCACAUUUACUAGAUUCCAAUGCUUGCUGCUUUGAACUGUAUUAGCUAAAGUUAUAAUUGAAUGUUCUUUAUCUCCCUUUUUCAUCACUUAAAAAUCAUUUCACAGUAAAGCUUUGUGUAUUUUAUUUCAACUCAAAAGUUAUUGAGAAACUUAAGGGAAAACAUUUUUUAGUUACGUAACAUGUAGGAAAAUAUAUUUCCACGAGCCUCUGAUUCAAAUGUCACACAAACAUAAUGCAAAAUAAUAAAUUUGGAAUAUAAGUCUGAAAAAAAUAAAUUCAGCAUUUUGGUGGUGCAGGUAUUUAAAAUUGAAAUAUCCAUAUUGACACAGUAAAAAACACUAUUCACUCCAGGUGACAUAUAGCUAAAAUUGUUUGUAGAGCUAUAUGAAUAUUGAGCUGUUACAAUACUGAUGGCUCUCACUGCAAAGUUCCCUCAGACAACGUAGCAGUGGCCUUAAAGAACUUCUGGUUUUAACUGUUCAAACUACAAUUGACAUUUCUGUUGUAAGUUCUGUGCCAUUUUGGAGGUAACUCCAGAAUUCUAUCCAAGAAGGGACUGGAAAGGUGACUGUAUUUAGAAGAUUAGGCUGCUAAACUGUGAUCUGUUACCACACAUAUAUAAGAUCUAUAUCAGACAACAGAUCUUGACACUUGAAUAGGAAUGUGGCUAAUUUACAAAUAAUUUUAUUUGAAGUAACAUACUUAUUCUUACUAUUAGCCAUAAAAGGAAACAUGUAAAAGAAGAGGUAUUUUGUGCAUCAUAUCAGAACUACAAGUUGCUUCUUUUGGUUCUGAAGGAGUGAAGACUUCACAAGUAUUCUCUCUGAAAUAACUGUGGCUCAGACACUACACAAUUUUGUGAUACAAUGGUAAGCUGCUGCUGAAAGCCCUGUUUUCUGCAGUUUGUGAUACUCUGUUGGGAAAAAGAACAACAAAUACCUGGAAACUUUCCCUAGUUCUGAAGAAACUUUCAUGCUUUUUUUUCUCUUCUGUAGACAUGUACAGUGACACUUGUGUGUUGGGUGUAACAAAACUGUAUAUUGUCUCUUUGGCUAAGCAGUAGAUGACGCCUAGAGCUAUCUGGGAUUUGGGCAAGAAUUAACAACAUUGAGCUGAGUUAUUUACCAUAAUUUAUUAUGCACUGAUGUUAUUGCUCUAAAAAGCCACAUGAAAAGGACAACAAAAAGUUGCUGCUUGUGAAAAACUAGGAUUGGAAUAAUUUUGCUGCAGUUCUCAGUCCUUUAAACUGGCAUUUUGUCUGCAGUUGCUUGUAAGUUUCCAAAACUGAAAUAUUACCUUUCCCAAACUAACCUCAACUUCUCCCGAUUCCUUUUCUCUGCCUCUCAAAAACAAAACAAACAAACAAACAGAAAAUCAAGCCUGAAGGAACACGCAGAAUCCAAAAUUUCUUCCAAGCCAUUGAAGGUUGGCAAAACUAUAAACAAUGGAAAACAAACAAAUAAACAAGGAUUAGCUGAAUGUUUGCCUCAGCCUGAAUGUUCUGGAGAGAAAGAAAAAAAAAUGCCAGAAAAGUUUCAGCCCUUUCUCAGAAUGAAAUUAGAAGGACAUAUGUAUAUUAUUUUAAAUUUCUGUGAAAUCCUUAGUCUAUUAACUGAAAGCACUGAAAACAGCUCUUAAUAAUCAAUAUAGAUGCUACCCUGAUGUGAGAGAAUUGUUCUGUUCCUUUCCCAUUGCGGGUGCUCAAGGCUCCGAACACCACGCACGCAAGUACAGCGUGUCCAAGACAUCUGACGUAACCCACAUGUGCAGACGAUGGCUCUGUAUCACACACGCACAGAGUUUGGUCUCAGUAAUUACAUGACGUACACAAAUCGAUUACAUCCAGUGUCAGGCUUAUUGAACCUAUGUGGAACAGGGACUUGGUUCUCGUGCCAGGGCUUAAGGAGACUCAACCCUCAAUCCUGUUAUCCUCCUGAAGUUGAAAUAAUGAACGCCUGAAGAGUCGUGGUUGUCUGUGCACUGUAGGAACUUUACACUGAUAAAUUCCCAACUUCCUUCUUCUCCAAAUAAUAAGGCAGUGGGCUAACUGGCAUUGCUUGUUCCAGCAUUUGGUGGCAUCUAAACUCUGCGCGUCUACAGGGAGAACAUUUCUUUUGUCUCUAGCAUUUCUGCUGCUGAGAUCUAAAGGAAAAAUAUAUUAGGUUGAACAUGGAAGGAUAAGAAGUAGGGUUACUUUGGGGAAGAGGAUAGGUACAAAUAGGGGAAGAAAUAUCUUUGGACUGUAGGCCAGAUGAUACAGGAGUUUCAAUUUCAGCAAAAGAAGUAACAGUAAGAUUAGCCUUGAGCCUCUUGUUGCUCUUGGCGUGCUUGCCGGGUUACUUCUAUCAGCCCUUGCUUUUACAUCUUAGAUACAGCCUAUUUUGCAGUAUUAGGACCUUGCCUAAUUUAAUAACAAGCAUACAAUUCUCAAUUCUGAGUCAGACCCAGAAGUAUACUGUUCAAAAUGACUAUAUGGGCUGUUAUAAAACAGCAGGUUAACUACGGCAAAGGCCACAAGCCUCCAGUGGCUUCUCUCAUGUGAGCUCUUACAUGGAUAGCAAGGCCUAACCAUGCCUUCACUUCAGGUAGAAGCAAUCAGAAGUAGGGAGGCACCUGCCCUUUUAGGGCUGGCUGUUGAGCCAAGAUCAACAGAAGUAUGACGUCUUAUUUCGUCUGCUUGAGCAUUUGACCACGUUAGCCAGCUUUUUGGUGCAGCUGUGAGGUACAUGUUGUUCUAUUCGGCGGCCCCAGGCAUUAAUCCAGCAAUUAAGAACAGCAUUUAGAACAGCUAAGUACUAGGAAGGAAGAGUUAACAAUUAUAAAAUAGAAGACCUAAGUAACAUGGUAUUCUGUACUCCAUUUCACGCACAAAAUAAAAGCCCAUUCCAAAUAUAAAGUACUUGUGUAUAUCUAAGCACUGGUUUUGUGUGUCUCUCACAUUGGCUCUGUGUAAUUAAUAUUUUAUUAAAUGAAUAUGAAUAUACGAAGGCUGCUCUGAAACUAAUGCCUCC
This is a non-coding RNA of Meleagris gallopavo (turkey), 5589 nucleotides long. NCBI's taxonomy places the organism in Eukaryota, Metazoa, Chordata, Aves, Galliformes, Phasianidae. The record is from RefSeq and is a predicted model, not a curated record.